Molecule: ribosomal RNA, 492 nt
Filed under: uncultured bacterium
Lineage: Bacteria
Description: partial 16S ribosomal RNA
Rfam family: Bacterial small subunit ribosomal RNA
Source: RNAcentral
AUUGAACGCUGGCGGCAUGCUUUACACAUGCAAGUCGAACGGUAACAGGCCUUCGGGUGCUGACGAGUGGCGAACGGGUGAGUAAUGCAUCGGAACGUACCCAGAGGUGGGGGAUAACGCAGCGAAAGCUGUGCUAAUACCGCAUGUGAUCUGAGGAUGAAAGCGGGGGACCGAGCAGCAAUGUUUGGCCUCGCGCCUUUGGAGCGGCCGAUGUCGGAUUAGCUAGUUGGUGGGGUAAAGGCCUACCAAGGCGACGAUCCGUGGCUGGUCUGAGAGGACGACCAGCCACACUGGGACUGAGACACGGCCCAGACUCCUACGGGAGGCAGCAGUGGGGAAUUUUGGACAAUGGGCGCAAGCCUGAUCCAGCAAUGCCGCGUGCGGGAAGAAGGCCUUCGGGUUGUAAACCGCUUUUGGCAGGAACGAAACGGUGUCCGCUAAUACCGGGCGCUAAUGACGGUACCUGCAGAAUAAGCACCGGCUAACUACGUG